CCUACGGGAGGCAGCAGUGGGGAAUAUUGCACAAUGGGCGCAAGCCUGAUGCAGCCAUGCCGCGUGUGUGAAGAAGGCCUUCGGGUUGUAAAGCACUUUCAGCGGGGAGGAAGGCGUUAAGGUUAAUAACCUUGGCGAUUGACGUUACCCGCAGAAGAAGCACCGGCUAACUCCGUGCCAGCAGCCGCGGUAAUACGGAGGGUGCAAGCGUUAAUCGGAAUUACUGGGCGUAAAGCGCACGCAGGCGGUCUGUCAAGUCGGAUGUGAAAUCCCCGGGCCCAACCUGGGAACUGCAUUCGAAACUGGCAGGCUAGAGUCUUGUAGAGGGGGGUAGAAUUCCAGGUGUAGCGGUGAAAUGCGUAGAGAUCUGGAGGAAUACCGGUGGCGAAGGCGGCCCCCUGGACAAAGACUGACGCUCAGGUGCGAAAGCGUGGGGAGCAAACAGGAUUAGAUACCCCGGUAGUC
RNAcentral lists this ribosomal RNA (465 nucleotides) under uncultured Klebsiella sp. RNAcentral's name for it is "bacterial SSU rRNA". It matches the Rfam family "Bacterial small subunit ribosomal RNA", at positions 338 to 795 of the family's 1533-position model. The record is from RNAcentral. Lineage: Bacteria; Pseudomonadati; Pseudomonadota; Gammaproteobacteria; Enterobacterales; Enterobacteriaceae.